This 254-nucleotide ribosomal RNA is filed under the name uncultured bacterium. RNAcentral describes it as "partial 16S ribosomal RNA". It matches the Rfam family "Bacterial small subunit ribosomal RNA", at positions 524 to 776 of the family's 1533-position model. The record is from RNAcentral.
UACGUAGGACCCAAGCGUUAUCCGGAAUUACUGGGCGUAAAGAGUUGCGUAGGCGGCUUGUUAAGCACGGUGUGAAAGCGUCCCGCUCAACGGGAUAUACAUACCAUGAACUGGCAAGCUAGAGUGUGAGAGAGGUUACUGGAAUUGCUAGUGUAGGAGUGAAAUCCGUAGAUAUUAGCAGGAACACCGAUGGCGUAGGCAGGUAACUGGCUCAUUACUGACGCUCAGGCACGAAAGCGUGGGGAGCAAACGGG